UUAUUUAAUGUUAUCGUCUAAGUUAUGUUCCUAGUUCUUCUAAUGCCGUUAUGUUUCUAUUUCGUUUUAUCCUCUAUGCGUGAAGUUGUUCAAGUUCUUGUAAUGCUUCUAUAAAGUUAUGUUUCAAUUUGUGCUUAACCUCUGGUUUACAAGGUUUAUCGGUUUAAGGGUUUAUUCGGAUGUAAGCAAUAAAUUUGAAGUUUCGUAAUCCAUACUUCUUUCUGUACUUACAUUAUAACUUUAAAGUUACUAUAAAUGUAGGAAUAAACCUGAUUGGAUUGACGCAAAAAGACAGUUUUGUGAUAGACGUGGCCAGGCAUA
Molecule: small RNA, 321 nt
Filed under: Arabidopsis thaliana (thale cress)
Lineage: Eukaryota; Viridiplantae; Streptophyta; Magnoliopsida; Brassicales; Brassicaceae
Description: ATSL094630
Source: RNAcentral